AUUUCCUUUCCGUGCAAAAUUAUAUGAUAAAUAAUUUAUGUUGUUGCAGAGAUAAAAGGAACUAUAAGUGAAUUACUAGAGAAACAUGAAAACCAUGAUAAGAAAAAAGACAAAUCAGAUGAAGAUUCAAGAAAUAAAAAAGUGUCAUCUUCAAAUGCUAGCAAGACUAAGGAUAAAUAACGUCAAAUGAAAUUUUCAAGACCAAAUGAAGAAUAUUCUAGACAGGGGCGGAUC
This 234-nucleotide long non-coding RNA is filed under the name Medicago truncatula (barrel medic). RNAcentral describes it as "long non-coding RNA (MTRU_LNC004674)". Lineage: Eukaryota; Viridiplantae; Streptophyta; Magnoliopsida; Fabales; Fabaceae. The record is from RNAcentral.